RNAcentral lists this ribosomal RNA (334 nucleotides) under uncultured eukaryote. Its description in RNAcentral is "partial 18S ribosomal RNA". It matches the Rfam family "Eukaryotic small subunit ribosomal RNA", at positions 1470 to 1796 of the family's 1831-position model. The record is from RNAcentral.
CCCUUAGAUGUCCGGGGCCGCACGCGCGCUACACUGAAGGAAUCAGCGUGGCUUUCUCCCUGACCCGAAAGGGUUGGGAAACCCGUUGAAUCUCCUUCGUGGUAGGGAUUGGGGCUUGAAAUUGUUCCCCAUGAACGAGGAAUUCCCAGUAAGCGCGAGCCAUAAGCUCGCGUUGAUUACGUCCCUGCCCUUUGUACACACCGCCCGUCGCUACUACCGAUUGAACGGUUUAGUGAGGGCCUCGGAUUGGUCUCGGCCCGCUCUUUACCGGGCGGCGCCGUUGGUCGAGAAGACGCUCGAACUUGAUCGUUUAGAGGAAGUAAAAGUCGUAACA